RNAcentral lists this ribosomal RNA (397 nucleotides) under uncultured bacterium. RNAcentral describes it as "bacterial SSU rRNA". It matches the Rfam family "Bacterial small subunit ribosomal RNA", at positions 29 to 412 of the family's 1533-position model. The record is from RNAcentral.
AACGAACGCUGGCGGCGUGGAUAAGACAUGCAAGUCGAACGGGACAACAUCUGUAGCAAUACAGGUGUUGUUUAGUGGCGAACGGGUGCGUAACACGUGGGCAAUCUGCCGAGAAGUGGGGGAUAGCUCGCCGAAAGGCGAAUUAAUACCGCAUAUGAUCAGUGAAGACAUCUUCACGACAUCAAAGCCGGGGCAACCUGGCGCUUCUUGAUGAGCCCGCGGCCUAUCAGCUAGUUGGUGAGGUAACGGCUCACCAAGGCUAUGACGGGUAGCUGGUCUGAGAGGACGACCAGUCACACUGGAACUGAGACACGGUCCAGACACCUACGGGUGGCAGCAGUCGAGUAAUUUUCUCAAUGGGGCAACCCUGAAGGAGCGACGCCGCGUGGAGGAUGAA